Molecule: ribosomal RNA, 523 nt
Filed under: uncultured bacterium
Lineage: Bacteria
Description: bacterial SSU rRNA
Rfam family: Bacterial small subunit ribosomal RNA
Source: RNAcentral
ACCCAGAGAACUUUCCAGAGAUGGAUUGGUGCCUUCGGGAACUCUGAGACAGGUGCUGCAUGGCUGUCGUCAGCUCGUGUUGUGAAAUGUUGGGUUAAGUCCCGCAACGAGCGCAACCCUUAUCCUUUGUUGCCAGCGGUUAGGCCGGGAACUCAAAGGAGACUGCCAGUGAUAAACUGGAGGAAGGUGGGGAUGACGUCAAGUCAUCAUGGCCCUUACGAGUAGGGCUACACACGUGCUACAAUGGCGCAUACAAAGAGAAGCGACCUCGCGAGAGCAAGCGGACCUCAUAAAGUGCGUCGUAGUCCGGAUUGGAGUCUGCAACUCGACUCCAUGAAGUCGGAAUCGCUAGUAAUCGUGGAUCAGAAUGCCACGGUGAAUACGUUCCCGGGCCUUGUACACACCGCCCGUCACACCAUGGGAGUGGGUUGCAAAAGAAGUAGGUAGCUUAACCUUCGGGAGGGCGCUUACCACUUUGUGAUUCAUGACUGGGGUGAAGUCGUAACAAGGUAAGCGUAGUGCU